AUGACUUGUGGAUAGCGGUGAAAUUCCAAUCGAGCCCGGAGAUAGCUGGUUCUCCCCGAAAUAGCUUUAGGGCUAGCCUCAAGCGUAGAGAAACGGAGGUAGAGCACUGAAUGUCCUAGGGGGUAUUGCACUUACCGAAGACUAUCAAACUCCGAAUGCCGUUUUCUUUUACUUGGGAGUCAGACUGUGGGUGAUAAGAUUCAUAGUCAAAAGGGCAACAGCCCAGAUCGUCAGCUAAGGUCCCUAAAUGUACGUUAAGUGGUAAAGGAUGUGGGAUUGCACAGACAACCAGGAUGUUGGCUUAGAAGCAGCCACUCAUUUAAAGAGUGCGUAAUAGCUCACUGGUCGAGUGAUCCUGCGCCGAAAAUUUCCGGGGCUAAAACGUACUACCGAAGCUACGGCAUCAUUUAUGAUGGGUAGGGGAGCUUCGUAUGCAGGCUGAAGCAUGACCGUAAGGACAUGUGGACAGUAUACGAGUGAGAAUGUUGGCAUGAGUAGCGAGACGUGGGUGAGAAUCCCACGGGCCGUAAACCCAAGGUUUCCAGGGGAAGGUUCGUCCGCCCUGGGUUAGUCGGGACCUAAGCCGAGGCCGAAAGGCGUAGGUGAUGGACAACAGGUUGAUAUUCCUGUACCGCCAAUAAGCGUUUGAGAGAUGGAGUGACACAGUAGGAUAAGCUAACCGUACUGUUGGUUAUGUACGGCUAAGCAUUGAGGCAGUCUAAAUAGGCAAAUCCGUUUAGACAAUGCUAGGAUGUGAUGGGGAAGCCCUUCGGGGCGAAGUAGCUGAUUUCACACUGUCAAGAAAAGCUUCUAUCGAGUUUAAAGGCGCCCGUACCGUAAACCGACACAGGUGGGUGAGGAGAGUAUCCUAAGGCCAGCGAGAGAACUAUUGUUAAGGAACUCGGCAAAAUGACCCCGUAACUUAGGGAGAAGGGGUGCCUGUCUAUGACAGGCCGCAGAGAAUAGGCCCAAGCGACUGUUUACCAAAAACACAGGUUUCUGCUAAGUCGCAAGACGAUGUAUAGGAGCUGACGCCUGCCCGGUGCUGGAAGGUUAAGGGGAUCUGUUAGAGCAAUCGAAGCAGUGAACUUAAGCCCCAGUAAACGGCGGCCGUAACUAUAACGGUCCUAAGGUAGCGAAAUUCCUUGUCGGGUAAGUUCCGACCCGCACGAAAGGCGUAACGAUUUGGGCACUGUCUCAACAAUAGACUCGGUGAAAUUGUAAUCCCGGUGAAGAUGCCGGGUACCUGCGACAGGACGGAAAGACCCCAUGGAGCUUUACUGUAGCUUGACGUUGGGUCUUGGUACUACAUGUACAGGAUAGGUGGGAGACUAUGAAGCAUGGACGCCAGUCUGUGUGGAGUCAUCCUUGGGAUACCACCCUUGUAGUACUGGGAUCCUAACCAUAGGCCUUGAAUCAGGUCUUGGAACACCGUCAGGUGGGCAGUUUGACUGGGGCGGUCGCCUCCUAAAAAGUAACGGAGGCGCUCAAAGGUUUCCUCAGCACGGUCGGAAAUCGUGCGAAGAGUGUAAAGGCAAAAGGAAGCUUGAUUGCAAGACAUACAGGUCGAGCAAGGACGAAAGUCGGACUUAGUGAUCCGGUGGUACCGCAUGGAAGGGCCAUCGCUCAACGGAUAAAAGCUACCCUGGGGAUAACAGGCUUAUCUCCCCCAAGAGUCCACAUCGACGGGGAGGUUUGGCACCUCGAUGUCGGCUCAUCACAUCCUGGGGCUGUAGUAGGUCCCAAGGGUUGGGCUGUUCGCCCAUUAAAGUGGUACGCGAGCUGGGUUCAGAACGUCGUGAGACAGUUCGGUCCCUAUCCGUCGCAGGCGUAGGAAAUUUGAGAAGACCUGUCCUUAGUACGAGAGGACCGGGAUGGACGUACCUCUGGUGUACCAGUUGUUCUGCCAAGGGCAUGGCUGGGUAGCUAUGUACGGAAUGGAUAAGCGCUGAAAGCAUCUAAGCGCGAAGCCAACUUCAAGAUAAGAUUUCCCACCGUAAGGGUAAGACCCCAGGAAGACUACCUGGUUGAUAGGUCGAAGGUGUAAGUGCAGUAAUGUAUUUAGCUUAUCGAUACUAAUAGGUCGAGGACUUGACCAA
RNAcentral lists this ribosomal RNA (2099 nucleotides) under human gut metagenome. RNAcentral's name for it is "bacterial LSU rRNA". It matches the Rfam family "Bacterial large subunit ribosomal RNA", at positions 804 to 2925 of the family's 2925-position model. The record is from RNAcentral.